AUUGAACGCUGGCGGCAGGCCUAACACAUGCAAGUCGAGCGAGUGGCGGACGGGUGAGUAAUGCAUGGGGAUCUGCCUGAUGGAGGGGGAUAACUACUGGAAACCGUAGCCAAUACCGCCUACCAUCGGAUGAACCCAUAUGGGAUUAGGUGGUUGGUGAGGUAACGGCUCACCAAGGCGACGAUCCCUAGCUGGUCUGAGAGGAGGAUCAGCCACACUGGGACUGAGACACGGCCCAGACUCCUACGGGAGGCAGCAGUGGGGAAUAUUGCACAAUGGGGGCAAACCUGAUGCAGCCAUGCCGCGUGUAUGAAGAAGGCCUUCGGGUUGUAAAGUACUUUCAGUAGGGAGGCGUUACCGACAGAAGAAGCACCGGCUAACUCCGUGCCAGCAGCCGCGGUAAUAC
This 406-nucleotide ribosomal RNA is filed under the name uncultured bacterium. RNAcentral's name for it is "partial 16S ribosomal RNA". It matches the Rfam family "Bacterial small subunit ribosomal RNA", at positions 30 to 526 of the family's 1533-position model. The record is from RNAcentral.